This 404-nucleotide long non-coding RNA is filed under the name Coturnix japonica (Japanese quail). RNAcentral's name for it is "lncRNA (ENSCJPG00005014865.1)". The record is from RNAcentral. Lineage: Eukaryota; Metazoa; Chordata; Aves; Galliformes; Phasianidae.
UCUCAUUUCUGUUUUCAUCCUUUGCUAUCCUGACCAAGCUUCCUGGAUGGACCCUGAACCCUUUGUUGUAGGAAACCUCAUCCACAGCACUAUCAUCUGGAUAAACUUCGGGUCUGCAUUACAGAUCUCUGGUACUUCAGGCACUUCACAUGAAAACAGGAGAGCCGGUGUAGGAGGGAAGCUGUUCAGGAUCAAGAUUUGGGUGCUUUUCUAGAAUGACAUACUUGACUUCAGUGGCAUCAGUUCUAACAGCAGCUAAAAUUCAGAUUUUGUCUCUACUUUUGAAGAAGAUAAAUGGAAUGUCUCCAUAGAAUUGCAAGUUCAGCACUGACUGACACAGAUUCUUCACUUUGUUUGAAUUCCUCCGUGAGUUGUUGCCUAUUUCCCUCAAGUAUAUCAGAAUA